Bactrocera neohumeralis is the source of this 240-nucleotide long non-coding RNA. RefSeq lists it as uncharacterized. Lineage: Eukaryota; Metazoa; Arthropoda; Insecta; Diptera; Tephritidae. The transcript has 2 exons. The record is from RefSeq and is a predicted model, not a curated record.
UCGUUGAUGCUGAGGAAUGUCAAGUCAGCACAACGGCUUCAGGUAAAUUUAGCAAGUAAGAUUUUUAUAAAGAAUAUGUGAAGUCAGCACAACGGCUUCAGGUAAAUUUAGCAAGUAAGAUUUUUAUAAAGAAUAUGUGAAGUCAGCACAACGGCUUCAGGUAAAUUUAGGAAAUAAGAUUUUUGUAAAGAAUAAAAUGAUGAUUAAUAAACUGGACGGCAAGCCGCUCAGUACGGUAAA